RNAcentral lists this ribosomal RNA (1485 nucleotides) under Prochlorococcus marinus str. AS9601. RNAcentral describes it as "16S ribosomal RNA". It matches the Rfam family "Bacterial small subunit ribosomal RNA". The record is from RNAcentral. Lineage: Bacteria; Bacillati; Cyanobacteriota; Cyanophyceae; Synechococcales; Prochlorococcaceae.
ACAACGGAGAGUUUGAUCCUGGCUCAGGAUGAACGCUGGCGGCGUGCUUAACACAUGCAAGUCGAACGAACCUUCGGGUUAGUGGCGGACGGGUGAGUAACGCGUGAGAAUCUGCCCUCAGGAGGGGGAUAACGGUUGGAAACGACCGCUAAUACCCCAUAUGCCUACUGGUGAAACGAAUUUCGCCUGAGGAUGAGCUCGCGUCUGAUUAGCUUGUUGGUGAGGUAAUGGCUCACCAAGGCUUCGAUCAGUAGCUGGUCUGAGAGGAUGAUCAGCCACACUGGGACUGAGACACGGCCCAGACUCCUACGGGAGGCAGCAGUGGGGAAUUUUCCGCAAUGGGCGAAAGCCUGACGGAGCAACGCCGCGUGAGGGACGAAGGCCUCUGGGCUGUAAACCUCUUUUCUCAAGGAAGAAGAUAUGACGGUACUUGAGGAAUAAGCCACGGCUAAUUCCGUGCCAGCAGCCGCGGUAAUACGGGAGUGGCAAGCGUUAUCCGGAAUUAUUGGGCGUAAAGCGUCCGCAGGCGGCUUUUCAAGUCUGCUGUUAAAGCGUGGAGCUUAACUCCAUCAUGGCAGUGGAAACUGAAAGGCUUGAGUAUGGUAGGGGCAGAGGGAAUUCCCGGUGUAGCGGUGAAAUGCGUAGAUAUCGGGAAGAACACCAGUGGCGAAGGCGCUCUGCUGGGCCAUUACUGACGCUCAUGGACGAAAGCCAGGGGAGCGAAAGGGAUUAGAUACCCCUGUAGUCCUGGCCGUAAACGAUGAACACUAGGUGUCGGGGGAAUCGACCCCUUCGGUGUCGUAGCUAACGCGUUAAGUGUUCCGCCUGGGGAGUACGCACGCAAGUGUGAAACUCAAAGGAAUUGACGGGGGCCCGCACAAGCGGUGGAGUAUGUGGUUUAAUUCGAUGCAACGCGAAGAACCUUACCAGGGUUUGACAUCCUGCGAACCUCUUAGAAAUUUGAGGGUGCCUUCGGGAAUGCAGUGACAGGUGGUGCAUGGCUGUCGUCAGCUCGUGUCGUGAGAUGUUGGGUUAAGUCCCGCAACGAGCGCAACCCACGUUUUUAGUUGCCAGCAUUUAGUUGGGCACUCUAGAAAGACCGCCGGUGAUAAACCGGAGGAAGGUGUGGAUGACGUCAAGUCAUCAUGCCCCUUACACCCUGGGCUACACACGUACUACAAUGCUACGGACAAAGGGCAGCAAACUCGCGAGAGCUAGCAAAUCCCAUAAACCGUGGCUCAGUUCAGAUCGUAGGCUGCAACUCGCCUACGUGAAGUAGGAAUCGCUAGUAAUCGCAGGUCAGCAUACUGCGGUGAAUACGUUCCCGGGCCUUGUACACACCGCCCGUCACACCAUGGAAGUUGGCCAUGCCCGAAGUCGUUACUCCAACCCUUGUGGAGGAGGACGCCGAAGGUGGGGCUAAUGACUGGGGUGAAGUCGUAACAAGGUAGCCGUACCGGAAGGUGCGGCUGGAUCACCUCCUAA